GAUGAACGCUGGCGGCGUGCCUAAUACAUGCAAGUCGAGCGAACAGACGAGGAGCUUGCUCCUCUGGCGUUAGCGGCGGACGGGUGAGUAACACGUGGAUAACCUACCUAUAAGACUGGGAUAACUUCGGGAAACCGGAGCUAAUACCGGAUAAUAUAUUGAACCGCAUGGUUCAAUAGUGAAAGACGGUUUUGCUGUCACUUAUAGAUGGAUCCGCGCCGCAUUAGCUAGUUGGUAAGGUAACGGCUUACCAAGGCGACGAUGCGUAGCCGACCUGAGAGGGUGAUCGGCCACACUGGAACUGAGACACGGUCCAGACUCCUACGGGAGGCAGCAGUAGGGAAUCUUCCGCAAUGGGCGAAAGCCUGACGGAGCAACGCCGCGUGAGUGAUGAAGGUCCUCGGAUCGUAAAACUCUGUUAUUAGGGAAGAACAAAUGUGUAAGUAACUAUGCACGUCUUGACGGUACCUAAUCAGAAAGCCACGGCUAACUACGUG
Molecule: ribosomal RNA, 497 nt
Filed under: uncultured bacterium
Lineage: Bacteria
Description: partial 16S ribosomal RNA
Rfam family: Bacterial small subunit ribosomal RNA
Source: RNAcentral